AAAAUCUUGAAGAUCAAACACCAAAAGAUGCCUCCGAAAGCUUGAAAUCUUGAUGAAACUUUGGAGAACAAACACCAAAUCUUGAAGAUCAAACACCAAAAUAGGCCUCCAAAACCUUGAAAUUUUGAUGAAUCUUUGAAGGUGUGAAGAACAAACACGAAAUCCUGAAGAUCAAACACCAAAAUAGGCCUCCAAAACCUUGAGAUUUUGAUGAAUCUUUGAAGGUGCGAAGAACAAACACCAAAUCUUGAGGAUCGAACACCAAAAUAGGCUUCAAAAGACUUGAAAAAAUGAAGAACCACUAAGAUUUUUUGAAAUCCAUGAAGAAACUACUAAAAUUCUAGAGAGAAAAAGUUGAGAUGAAAGGAAGUUAUGAAGUGUGGGGAGUGAAACUACACUCACUUAUAUAAGCCACAGUUGGUCGCAAAAAAAAACAAAAAACAAAAAAAGGGCUAUAUAGCCGUUGUAUAGCUCCUAGGGAGCAAUAAAAGAACAAAAUAACGGUAGAGCAAAAACCAACGUUUGGUAGAGAAGAAAUUGGGCAGGCCCCACCCUUUUUUUAUUAUUCAUUUUCCUUUUUCUAAAAAGGAAAAAGUAAAUAGUAAAAGAAAAAACAGAAAGCAGAGUCGCGGAUUCAAAACCAAAGUUUGGCUGAAAAUAAAAUGGGCUGGGCCCCGCUACCUUUUUAAUUUAUUUUUUCUUUUUCUAUAAAANCCGGGACGAUGACCGAUAUGUAUCCAUCCUUUCCUACACUCAGGACUAUUCUUAAACACGAAGAUACUCCUAAAUAAGUUUAUACUAAGCGGGAAUCCUUUUUGAACACACAAAGCCAUAAAAACGUGGAUUAUUCUCCAAGCGUUGGGAACCAACUGACACGGAUUUAUCCUAGCUUCAGCUAAAAGUCUAGGUAUAAAAUCGUUAAGAGGGAAGCGAAGACCCGACUUAAAAGCAUCCUCAUAAAUAAAUAAAUCCUCCGGAUCCCAGUUACAAGUUCCAUCACCCGGAGAGGGACAAACUACUUCAUACUGAGGAGGAACGUUAUAUAACUCAGCUAUUCUAACAACAUCUUCAUCAUUAAGUCUACUAGGAUAAUCAUUAGCAUCUAACUCAGCAUUAUUAGGAAAGGCAUCUCCCAUUUCAUUCAGCAAUUCGAAUAAAGAAGUAACUGGAUGAUCAAGAACGAUAGGGGGACGGAAAUCCUUACCUCUUUUUGAAGCUCGAGCAGCCAACCUUUUUGCCCUCUCCUCAGCAAUAGAGUGAUUUUCGGCCAUUGACAAACACCAAAAUCUUGAAGAUCAAACACCAAAAGAUGCCUCCGAAAGCUUGAAAUCUUGAUGAAACUUUGGAGAACAAACACCAAAUCUUGAAGAUCAAACACCAAAAUAGGCCUCCAAAACCUUGAAAUUUUGAUGAAUCUUUGAAGGUGUGAAGAACAAACACGAAAUCCUGAAGAUCAAACACCAAAAUAGGCCUCCAAAACCUUGAGAUUUUGAUGAAUCUUUGAAGGUGCGAAGAACAAACACCAAAUCUUGAGGAUCGAACACCAAAAUAGGCUUCAAAAGACUUGAAAAAAUGAAGAACCACUAAGAUUUUUUGAAAUCCAUGAAGAAACUACUAAAAUUCUAGAGAGAAAAAGUUGAGAUGAAAGGAAGUUAUGAAGUGUGGGGAGUGAAACUACACUCACUUAUAUAAGC
RNAcentral lists this long non-coding RNA (1694 nucleotides) under Daucus carota (carrot). RNAcentral's name for it is "long non-coding RNA (DCAR_LNC004509)". Lineage: Eukaryota; Viridiplantae; Streptophyta; Magnoliopsida; Apiales; Apiaceae. The record is from RNAcentral.